GAUGAACGCUGGCGGCGUGCCUAAUACAUGCAAGUCGAGCGAACGGACGAGAAGCUUGCUUCUCUGAUGUUAGCGGCGGACGGGUGAGUAACACGUGGAUAACCUACCUAUAAGACUGGGAUAACUUCGGGAAACCGGAGCUAAUACCGGAUAAUAUUUUGAACCGCAUGGUUCAGAAGUGAAAGACGGUCUUGCUGUCACUUAUAGAUGGAUCCGCGCUGCAUUAGCUAGUUGGUAAGGUAACGGCUUACCAAGGCAACGAUGCAUAGCCGACCUGAGAGGGUGAUCGGCCACACUGGAACUGAGACACGGUCCAGACUCCUACGGGAGGCAGCAGUAGGGAAUCUUCCGCAAUGGGCGAAAGCCUGACGGAGCAACGCCGCGUGAGUGAUGAAGGUCUUCGGAUCGUAAAACUCUGUUAUUAGGGAAGAACAUAUGUGUAAGUAACUGUGCACAUCUUGACGGUACCUAAUCAGAAAGCCACGGCUAACUACGUGCCAGCAGCCGCGGUAAUACGUAGGUGGCAAGCGUUAUCCGGAAUUAUUGGGCGUAAAGCGCGCGUAGGCGGUUUUUUAAGUCUGAUGUGAAAGCCCACGGCUCAACCGUGGAGGGUCAUUGGAAACUGGAAAACUUGAGUGCAGAAGAGGAAAGUGGAAUUCCAUGUGUAGCGGUGAAAUGCGCAGAGAUAUGGAGGAACACCAGUGGCGAAGGCGACUUUCUGGUCUGUAACUGACGCUGAUGUGCGAAAGCGUGGGGAUCAAACAGGAUUAGAUACCCUGGUAGUCCACGCCGUAAACGAUGAGUGCUAAGUGUUAGGGGGUUUCCGCCCCUUAGUGCUGCAGCUAACGCAUUAAGCACUCCGCCUGGGGAGUACGACCGCAAGGUUGAAACUCAAAGGAAUUGACGGGGACCCGCACAAGCGGUGGAGCAUGUGGUUUAAUUCGAAGCAACGCGAAGAACCUUACCAAAUCUUGACAUCCUUUGACAACUCUAGAGAUAGAGCCUUCCCCUUCGGGGGACAAAGUGACAGGUGGUGCAUGGUUGUCGUCGGCUCGUGUCGUGAGAUGUUGGGUUAAGUCCCGCAACGAGCGCAACCCUUAAGCUUAGUUGCCAUCAUUAAGUUGGGCACUCUAAGUUGACUGCCGGUGACAAACCGGAGGAAGGUGGGGAUGACGUCAAAUCAUCAUGCCCCUUAUGAUUUGGGCUACACACGUGCUACAAUGGACAAUACAAAGGGCAGCGAAACCGCGAGGUCAAGCAAAUCCCAUAAAGUUGUUCUCAGUUCGGAUUGUAGUCUGCAACUCGACUACAUGAAGCUGGAAUCGCUAGUAAUCGUAGAUCAGCAUGCUACGGUGAAUACGUUCCCGGGUCU
This 1372-nucleotide ribosomal RNA is filed under the name uncultured bacterium. RNAcentral's name for it is "bacterial SSU rRNA". It matches the Rfam family "Bacterial small subunit ribosomal RNA", at positions 28 to 1381 of the family's 1533-position model. The record is from RNAcentral.